This 230-nucleotide long non-coding RNA is filed under the name Elaeis guineensis (African oil palm). Its description in RNAcentral is "long non-coding RNA (EGUI_LNC030903)". Lineage: Eukaryota; Viridiplantae; Streptophyta; Magnoliopsida; Arecales; Arecaceae. The record is from RNAcentral.
UAUUUCGUGGACCAAUGUACGAUCAGAGGGCGUGGGUUGAUUUUCAUUUCGAUCUAAUGGUCCGAAGGAAUUCCAAGUGCUCUAAGGAGUCCUUAAUCCUAAUCAAAUUGAUUUUUAAGGCCUUUAAAAGGCUUGAUGCGUGGAAGAACUUCGUGUGGUGCAGCAUUGAUUUGACAAGAGCAUAGGAAAACUAGAACCCACGUGAAGAAAGAGAGAGACGUGCGGCGCUG